GAAAAUUUAGGUUAAUUCGGUUAAUUAACCGAAUUUGGCCGAGCGCUCACCCCUAAAAUCCACGACCACCCAUUCUCUAGUCUAGUCUCCAGUGCGGGCCAGCCGCAGUCUUCGGUAGCUCAAGUCGCCCUCGGCCCCGCUCCCGCCGCGGUGCUGCCUGCUCCUGCCUUCUCGCGGCGAUGGUUUGCGCGACCUUCCUCUACUCACCUUCCUUUUCGCGCGCUCCCCUCCACCUCCUCUCUACCUUCCCAACUCAGACCACCGGCCUUGGUCGCUUCCUCCUCUUAGCUUCGACCUGCCACCGCAGCUUUUCCGCUAGCCGGCCUAGAGCCCUACCGAGGAUGAUCCAUGUCGAUGCCCAGUCAAAGCGAGGCUUCUCCUUUAAGGAUGAUGAAGUUGCUUCUCCUUCCGACACGUGCUUUCAGUCGCCGCUCAAAAUUGUGGAAUAUCCGGACCCUAUACUGAGGGCGAAAAACAAGCGGAUUGAUGCUUUCGACGAUAACCUGAAGAAGCUAGUUGAGGAGAUGUUCGAUGUAAUGUACAAAACUGAUGGCUGUGGGCUUUCAGCACCCCAAGUAGGAAUCAAUGUUCAAGUGAUGGUGUUUAAUCCCGUUGGUGAACGAGGAGAUGGAGACGAAAUUGUUCUUAUAAAUCCAAGAAUCAACAAAUAUUCAAAGAAAAAAGUACUCUUUAAUGAAGGUUGCUUAUCAUUUCCAAAGAUCUAUGCUGAUGUAGAGAGACCAGAAUCUGUGAAAAUUGAUGCACAGGACAUUUCUGGUGCAAGGUUUACAAUCAAAUUGUCAGGCCUUCUUGCAAGGGUGUUCCAGCAUGAAUUUGAUCAUUUGCAGGGAAUCCUUUUCUGUGACAGAAUGACUGAAGAAGUUCUUGAUGGUAUCUGUGCAGAUCUUCAGGUCUUGGAAAAUAAGUACGAGCAUAAAACUGGAUUUCCAAGCCCUGAGAGGAUAGAAACCCGCAAAAGAAGGAAGGUGGCUGCUGGUUUUGGAAAAUCAUGAAUAUAGUUAGCUGACACUGCUGGAGUAUCCACAUACUGAUAGCAGACGUGAUUGGAACUCAGAUCCCUGCGGCUCACGUGGAUGCCAGGAACAUGAUCAUUGGACGUAAUGGUGGAAAAAUGGACAAUGUUGAAGAAUGACUUGUUGAAUGGAACAUGGGGCUAAUUUCUACCGCCGUUGUAAAAUUUUUAUAAGUCUUGGGCCAUUUGAUGCAAACAGGUUCUAGUGUUUAGAGAAGUAGCUACGAGAAAACAUAUUUGAGGUUUGGAUUUAUUUGCCACUCACCAGCUAUGAAGAUCCUGUUUUGGUGGGACUAGCCAUUGUAUGCCAUAGAUCGAUACGUGCUUUCGUCUGUUGAUUAACUCGUUGUACUUAUAACAGGAAAUGUUACCAUUCUAUAUUUCCUAACCUGGUUGGCUUGAAAACUGCAACUUCGUGGAAGAGAAUUGUCACUUGCAUAGAUCUUC
RNA transcript from Malania oleifera, 1480 nucleotides. It is a transcript of the gene named peptide deformylase 1B, chloroplastic/mitochondrial, with no coding region annotated. The transcript is spliced from 7 exons. The record is from RefSeq and is a predicted model, not a curated record. Lineage: Eukaryota; Viridiplantae; Streptophyta; Magnoliopsida; Santalales; Ximeniaceae.